This 210-nucleotide long non-coding RNA is filed under the name Rattus norvegicus (Norway rat). RNAcentral's name for it is "long non-coding RNA NONRATT029888". Lineage: Eukaryota; Metazoa; Chordata; Mammalia; Rodentia; Muridae. The record is from RNAcentral.
CCCCCUAUCCUAUCCCCCUCCCACCUGUUUCUCUGAGGUUGUUCCUCCACCUACCCACUUUCCCACCUCCCCGCCUGACAUUUCCCUACAUUGGGGCAUUGAGUCUUGGCAGGAACAAGGGCUUCUCCCCUCAUUGAUGCUCAACGUGGCCGUCCUCUGCUACAUAUGUAGCUGGAGCCAACGGCUUGUCCAUGUGUACUCUCUGGAUAA